GGCCGCUCAUCGGGAGGCGACAGGAGCGGCGAGGGCACAGAAACACACAGCCACGCUGGGGCACCUCGGGGUCAUCGCCGCCCUUCCUCAGGCUGCGUCCCCCGCUGCGGUUCCGCCUGGGAAAAAGAAAGAGCUCGAGAGACCUGAGCGCGCAGGAGCCCUUCUCCAAGGUUUUUCUGAAGGCUGGAAAGAGGUACUGCCUGUACACGCGGCCUGCCAGUACCACCCGGUGCAGAGCUCACAUUAGGACCCGGUGCACCUGAAGCAGCACAGCCCGGACACGCAGCGCCAACGUUUCAAACGCAAGAUUCUUCCCUCACAUAAAAACCCUGUGAAGCACUUAAACAUGAACGGCUUAUGUGAAACUACGAUCGUUCCUUCUCAGCUCGUCAGAACGCCUGCAGAAGGGCCCCACCGCAGCGCACCCCAGAGCCCGUAUUUUGGGACACGCCUGGGCAGAGGCCUGGCUCAGCCACUGGCAUUUCCAAUAGAAGCACAACAUUCACGUCUCUGCGAUGUGCGAGCACAGACAAGAGGGGAACUGCCGAGGUCUAAGGGAAAGUUACGGUGCUUGUUUAAGAUGAAGAUGCACAUGAAACGACUUGUGGUUGCCGUACUCGUACCUCUAGCAGCAGCAGGAGCACAACGGGUCAGUCACCAUGACGAAGCUCUGGUUGCCCCGGCCGUGACAGCAGCAGCCGCAGCGGCCAGGCCGUGCCGGGGCAGCCAGCAGGCGGGCAGCGCUGCAGCCGGAGCCAGCAGCCCGCGCGGCGGCACACGGUCAGCGCUGCAGCGAGCACCAGCGGCGACCACAAAGCACCGUAACCGCUGUGAGGUGCCUACCUCAAAAGUUUUAUGAAUGCAUAAAGCGUGAGCUCUGU
This is a long non-coding RNA of Cygnus atratus (black swan), 881 nucleotides long. RefSeq lists it as uncharacterized. The record is from RefSeq and is a predicted model, not a curated record. The transcript has 3 exons. Lineage: Eukaryota; Metazoa; Chordata; Aves; Anseriformes; Anatidae.